UGACAGGGAGACAGGUGGUGCAUGGUUGUCGUCAGCUCGUGUCGUGAGAUGUUGGGUUAAGUCCCGCAACGAGCGCAACCCUUGUCCUUAGUUGCCAGCAUUCAGUUGGGCACUCUAAGGAGACUGCCGGUGUCAAACCGGAGGAAGGUGGGGAUGACGUCAAGUCCUCAUGGCCCUUAUGUCCAGGGCUACACACGUGCUACAAUGGCCGGUACAAAGGGGCGCAAGACCGCGAGGUGGAGCAAAUCCCAAAAACCGGUCUCAGUUCGGAUUGGAGUCUGCAACUCGACUCCAUGAAGUUGGAAUCGCUAGUAAUCGCGGAUCAGCAUGCCGCGGUGAAUACCGGUUCCCGGGCCUU
This 358-nucleotide ribosomal RNA is filed under the name uncultured Desulfuromonas sp. Its description in RNAcentral is "bacterial SSU rRNA". It matches the Rfam family "Bacterial small subunit ribosomal RNA", at positions 1024 to 1382 of the family's 1533-position model. The record is from RNAcentral. Lineage: Bacteria; Pseudomonadati; Thermodesulfobacteriota; Desulfuromonadia; Desulfuromonadales; Desulfuromonadaceae.